Molecule: ribosomal RNA, 720 nt
Filed under: marine alpha proteobacterium RS.Sph.010
Lineage: Bacteria; Pseudomonadati; Pseudomonadota; Alphaproteobacteria
Description: bacterial SSU rRNA
Rfam family: Bacterial small subunit ribosomal RNA
Source: RNAcentral
UUUUAACGAACGCCUGGCGGCAGGCCUAACACAUGUCAAGUCGGACGAGAAGGUAGCUUCGGCUACUGGAGAGUGGCGCACGGGUGAGUAACGCGUGGGGACCUACCUCUUAGUGGGGGAUAACGGUUGGAAACGACCGCUAAUACUGCAUACGCCCUUCGGGGGAAAGAUUUAUCGCUAAGAGAUGGACCCGCGUUGGAUUAGAUAGUUGGUGAGGUAACGGCUGACCAAGUCAGCGAUCCAUAGCUGGUUUGAGAGGAUGAUCAGCCACACUGGGACUGAGACACGGCCCAGACUCCUACGGGAGGCAGCAGUGGGGAAUAUUGGACAAUGGGGGCAACCCUGAUCCAGCCAUGCCGCGUGAGUGAAGAAGGCCUUCGGGUUGUAAAGCUCUUUCAGAUGCGAAGAUGAUGACGGUAACAUCGGAAGAAGCCCCGGCUAAUUUCGUGCCAGCAGCCGCGGUAAUACGAAAGGGGCUAGCGUUGUUCGGAUUUACUGGGCGUAAAGGGCACGCAGGCGGUCUUGCCAGUCAGGGGUGAAAGCCCGAGGCUCAACCUCGGAACUGCCUCUGAUACUGUAAGACUUGAGACUAGGAGAGGGUGGUGGAAUUCCCAGUGUAGAGGUGAAAUUCGUAGAUAUUGGGAGGAACACCAGAGGCGAAGCGGCCACCUGGACUAGAUCUGACGCUCAGGUGCGAAGCGUGGGGAGCAAACAGGAUUA